GGAUCCAGACUUUGAUCAUGGCUCAGGAUGAACGCUGGCGGCAUGCCUAAGACAUGCAAGUCGAACGAGAUGGCCCACAGAUUCAGAAGGAAAACGGAGUGCUUGCACGAAGUUAGAAUUUUGAUGACGUGGAAAUUCCAUCUAGUGGCAAACGGGUGAAUAACACGUGGGUAACCUACCUCUAAGUUGGGGAUAACAGUUGGAAACGACUGAUAAUACCGAAUAAGCUCUACGGAGUAGAGAAGCCAUUAAGCUUCGCUAAGAGAUGGGCCUGCGGCGUAUUAGCUAGUUGGUGGGGUAAGAGCCUACCAAGGCGACGAUGCGUAGCCGAACUGAGAGGUUGAUCGGCCACACUGGGACUGAGACACGGCCCAGACUCCUACGGGAGACAGCAGUUAGGAAUAUUCGUCAAUGGGGGAAACCCUGAACGAGCAAUGCCGCGUGAAUGAAGAAGGCCCUAUGGGUUGUAAAAUUCUGUUGUAUGGAAAGAAAUGUAAAGUUAGGAAAUGAACUUUACUUGACGGUACCAUUCAAGAAAGCCACGGCUAACUACGUGCCAGCAGCCGCGGUAAUACGUAGGUGGCGAGCGUUAUCCGGAUUUAUUGGGCGUAAAGGGUGCGUAGGCGGUAUGUUAAGUAUAAAAUAAAAGCCCGAAGCUUAACUUCGGUUCGUUUUAUAAACUGGCAAACUAGAGUACAGUAGAGGCAAAUGGAAUUCCUAGUGUAGUGGUAAAAUGCGUAGAUAUUAGGAGGAACACCAGUGGCGAAGGCGAUUUGCUGGGCUGUAACUGACGCUGAGGCACGAAAGCGUGGGGAGCAAAUAGGAUUAGAUACCCUAGUAGUCCACGCCGUAAACGAUGAGUACUAAGUGUCGGGAAACCGGUGCUGAAGUUAACACAUUAAGUACUCCGCCUGAGUAGUACGGUCGCAAGGCUGCAACUCAAAUGAAUUGACGG
Molecule: ribosomal RNA, 955 nt
Filed under: uncultured Bacteroidota bacterium
Lineage: Bacteria; Pseudomonadati; Bacteroidota
Description: bacterial SSU rRNA
Rfam family: Bacterial small subunit ribosomal RNA
Source: RNAcentral